GUACUUGUCUGCAGGCCCGAAGCAAUGAGGAAGUUCAACCAGCUGUCAUCUGGCCUGAACGAUGAGCAGACAAUCGAGAUCGUCACGACAUGGCAUGGUACUCAGAGGUGAAGAGUUUGCAUAAGACGGUCUGAUCUUCAUCUGAUGGAACUGUUUCACCUGCUCCACUGCCUCUGGCCAUUUUUUUUUCCACACCCACUCACUCACUACGAGGCCGCUCUGCCUUUCCCGCUUCUUCUGCGAUAACUCGCUGCAGAAGGUAGACGACGCUUUGGCAAGUUCGAACAUGAGCGCGCAGCAAUGGGAACGCGUGUGUGGGCUGCAAACAGAAGCGCUGAGUAGACAUACCAGAGUGGCGUGGGGCACCAAAGAGGAAAAAAAAAAAGCUGAAAGGAAAAACCUGACUUUCAUUUAACACCGACAGUUGAAGAUACCUCAACAAAAGGCAGGUAACACGACGCAAUGUAAACCUCCAGCAUACCAGGAUGUGGUCUCCUACGACUUCAAGAUCGACAGCAUGUGCGUGGGCGUUGUCGGUAAUCUCGCAAAUGCGGGGGAAUGCCCCCUUACGUUUCCUCAUAUUCAGGAGUGUCUAAUAUCUAAUGUCACAAGUAACAACUACCUGUAUUCCUCUUAAGAACGAACUUCAGUCAAUAUUAAAUCGCACUUGUCAUU
Molecule: long non-coding RNA, 675 nt
Organism: Hippocampus zosterae (dwarf seahorse)
Lineage: Eukaryota; Metazoa; Chordata; Actinopteri; Syngnathiformes; Syngnathidae
Exons: 2
Source: RefSeq, a predicted model, not a curated record